Molecule: ribosomal RNA, 265 nt
Filed under: uncultured bacterium
Lineage: Bacteria
Description: partial 16S ribosomal RNA
Rfam family: Bacterial small subunit ribosomal RNA
Source: RNAcentral
UUGUGCCUACGGGGGGCAGCAGUGAGGAAUAUUGGUCAAUGGGCUUACGCCUGAUCCAGCUAUUCCGCGUGUGGGAUGAAGGCCCUCGGGUUGUAAACCACUUUUGUAGAGAACGAAAAGACACCUUCGAAUAAAGGGUGUUGCUGACGGUACUCUAAGAAUAAGCACCGGCUAACUACGUGCCAGCAGCCGCGGUAAUACGUAGGGUGCGAGCGUUAAUCGGAAUUACUGGGCGUAAAGGGUGCGCAGGCGGUUGAGUAAGACA